CGCAAAUUUGUGAAGCGUUCCAUAUUU
Molecule: small nuclear RNA, 27 nt
Filed under: Cervus elaphus hippelaphus
Lineage: Eukaryota; Metazoa; Chordata; Mammalia; Artiodactyla; Cervidae
Source: RNAcentral